Molecule: long non-coding RNA, 316 nt
Filed under: Mus musculus (house mouse)
Lineage: Eukaryota; Metazoa; Chordata; Mammalia; Rodentia; Muridae
Description: long non-coding RNA chr2:3531284-3531600
Source: RNAcentral
AUGUCUGCGCUGACCCGCUUGGUACCUUUUGGUCCCGUCGGAGGCCUCCUGCUCUGGGGCUGCCGCCUGUGGGGAGCUGGAGACCAUGGAGUCCGUCAUGCUGGCGGUGGUGUACAUAUUCAGCCCUGGUACAGGGAGUUUCCCCAGCUUACCUGGUCCCAGGUGAUCCACGGUGAGUUCUUAAGCUCACUCAUGUGGUUCUGGAUUCUUUGGUGAUUUUGGCAUGAGUCAGAUGCUGUGCUGGGUCACCUUUCAUAUCCAGAUCCUUCACAGUGGACAGAUGAAGAACUGGGAAUCCCUCCCGAUGAUGAGGACU